Molecule: long non-coding RNA, 314 nt
Organism: Drosophila innubila
Lineage: Eukaryota; Metazoa; Arthropoda; Insecta; Diptera; Drosophilidae
Exons: 2
Source: RefSeq, a predicted model, not a curated record
ACGUUUCAGUUAUAAUCAACGCUCCAAACCCAACGAUGCAGUAUUUUGUCUUGUUAAUUUUGCUUAGCUCUCUGAUGAGCAUUGCUUUGGCCAACAAACUAUUUGUCGAGGACUGCUUUCCAGCUCCAUUUUUUGCAUGUGAACGUUACCGCCCACGUGUUUGGGGCAAUCCAGCUUCCGGUUGCGUUUGCGUUCGUCCUGGUCUCGAUUCGCGUUUCGAUUUAUCAUCUGGUCGUUUUUUCUUUAAAUAACAUUAUAAAUUGUAUUAUAUAUACAUAUAAUCAUUUAUACUCUCGAUUAAAUACUUCAAUAUA